GACGAACGCUGGCGGCGUGCUUAACACAUGCAAGUCGAACGGAAAGACCCUGCUUUUGUGGCGUGCUCGAUUGGCGAGCGGGUGUGUAACACGUGUGUAACCUGCCCCUGUCUUUCGGAUAAAUUUACGGAACUGCGGCUCAUACCGCGUAGGAUCUCCUGCUGCAUGGUGUUCGUUGGUAAGUUUCGGCGGUUGGGGAUGGAUUGGCGGCUUCUCAGCUUGUUUGUCGGGUAGUGGAUUACCCAGCCUUUGACGGCUAGGCGGCCUGGGCGGGUUGACGGCGACAAGGGGACUGCGGGACGGACCAGACGCGUACGGGAGGCAGCAGUCGGGAAUAUGGCACAGUGGGCGGAAGCCUGAGGCAGCAGCGCCGCGUGCGUGAUGACGUCCUUCGGGUUGUAAACCGCUUUCGCCUGUGACGAAGCGGUAGUGACGGUAAUGGGUAAAGAAGCACCGGCUAACUACGUG
This 468-nucleotide ribosomal RNA is filed under the name uncultured bacterium. RNAcentral's name for it is "partial 16S ribosomal RNA". It matches the Rfam family "Bacterial small subunit ribosomal RNA", at positions 28 to 507 of the family's 1533-position model. The record is from RNAcentral.